Molecule: ribosomal RNA, 476 nt
Filed under: uncultured bacterium
Lineage: Bacteria
Description: bacterial SSU rRNA
Rfam family: Bacterial small subunit ribosomal RNA
Source: RNAcentral
GGGGGCCCGCAAGCGGUGGAGCAUGUGGUUCAAUUCGAAGCAACGCGAAGAACCUUACCAGCCCUUGACAUCCCGGUCGCGGAGACCAGAGACGGACUCCUUCAGUUCGGCUGGACCGGAGACAGGUGCUGCAUGGCUGUCGUCAGCUCGUGUCGUGAGAUGUUGGGUUAAGUCCCGCAACGAGCGCAACCCUCGGCCUUAGUUGCCAUCAUUUAGUUGGGCACUCUAAGGCGACUGCCGGUGAUAAGCCGGAGGAAGGUGGGGAUGACGUCAAGUCCUCAUGGCCCUUACGGGCUGGGCUACACACGUGCUACAAUGGCGGUGACAGAGGGACGCAAAAGGGCAACCUUUCGCAGAUCUCAAAAAGCCGUCUCAGUUCGGAUUGGGGUCUGCAACUCGACCCCAUGAAGUUGGAAUCGCUAGUAAUCGCAGAUCAGCACGCUGCGGUGAAUACGUUCCCGGGCCUUGUACACACC